AUACUUACCUGACUGGUGUUCGACCGUGAUCCUAGAGGCGGUUGACAUGAACCGGAGCAGGCCCCUUGCACGCCGGUGCUGUAAUGGUUCAGGAAUGCUCUUUUGAGUAACUCCACAGUAGAAUUUUUGGUAGCGGGGGUGAGCGCUUGCGCCGCCCCCAC
RNAcentral lists this small nuclear RNA (161 nucleotides) under Globisporangium iwayamae DAOM BR242034. RNAcentral's name for it is "U1 spliceosomal RNA". It matches the Rfam family "U1 spliceosomal RNA". From Rfam's summary of the family: U1 is a small nuclear RNA (snRNA) component of the spliceosome (involved in pre-mRNA splicing). The record is from RNAcentral. Lineage: Eukaryota; Oomycota; Peronosporomycetes; Pythiales; Pythiaceae.